This 71-nucleotide transfer RNA is filed under the name Patescibacteria group bacterium. Its description in RNAcentral is "tRNA-Trp". It matches the Rfam family "tRNA". Rfam says of the family: Transfer RNA (tRNA) molecules are approximately 80 nucleotides in length. Their secondary structure includes four short double-helical elements and three loops (D, anti-codon, and T loops). The record is from RNAcentral.
AGGCCUGUAAUGAAAUGGUAUCAUGAGGGUCUCCAAAACCCUUCUUCCAGGUUCAAAUCCUGGCAGGCCUG